Molecule: ribosomal RNA, 429 nt
Filed under: uncultured bacterium
Lineage: Bacteria
Description: bacterial SSU rRNA
Rfam family: Bacterial small subunit ribosomal RNA
Source: RNAcentral
UCGAGAAUUUUUCACAAUGGGGGCAACCCUGAUGGAGCGACGCCGCGUGGAGGAUGAAGGGCUUCGGCUCGUAAACUCCUGUCACCCCAGACAAAUACGAUCCGGUGAACAUCCGGAGCGUUUGAUGGUAUGGGGAGAGGAAGGGACGGCUAACUCUGUGCCAGCAGCCGCGGUAAUACAGAGGUCCCAAGCGUUGUUCGGAUUUACUGGGCGUAAAGGGUGCGUAGGAGGCUUGGAAAGUCAGGUGUGAAAUCUCGCCGCUUAACGGCGAAAUGGCGCUUGAUACUCCCGAGCUAGAAGAUCGGAGGGGAGAACGGAAUUCCUGGUGUAGCGGUGAAAUGCGUAGAUAUCAGGAGGAACACCAACGGCGAAGGCAGUUCUCUGGACGAUUCUUGACUCUGAGGCACGAAGGCCAGGGGAGCAAACGGG